This 524-nucleotide small RNA is filed under the name Pan troglodytes (chimpanzee). Its description in RNAcentral is "processed transcript". The record is from RNAcentral. Lineage: Eukaryota; Metazoa; Chordata; Mammalia; Primates; Hominidae.
CCAGGUUGCGGGAGGCAGGCCUGGCACCAGUGCCCAUGGUGAGGAUUGGGAUGGGUUGAGCGAAGGUGGUCCUGUGGAGCUUUCAGGCUAAGUCCUGCAUGGACUGGAGUGACCACUGGAGGGCAGCAGAAGUACAGUCAAGAAAGAUUAGUGGUUGUAGCAAGGCCCUCUGUAGCCUGAGAUCUGCUUUUUUCUAGAUCAUCUUUGCUAAGGAUGGGCAUUUUGCCCUGGAGGAGCUGGCCCAAGCUGGCUAUGAGGUGGUUGGGCUUGACUGGACAGUGGCCCCAAAGAAAGCCCGGUAAGCCAUGGAAGGGUGAGGCCUUGAGGUUGAGGUGGGGGUGUUGGCUGGGGGAGCUGCCAUGUAUGCAGUUACCAGAACGUGGCGCUGGCUUUGCUUCCAGGGAGUGUGUGGGGAAGACGGUGACAUUGCAGGGCAACCUGGACCCCUGUGCCUUGUAUGCAUCCGAGGAGGAGAUCGGGCAGUUGGUGAAGCAGAUGCUGGAUGACUUUGGACCACAUCGCUA